RNAcentral lists this ribosomal RNA (253 nucleotides) under uncultured bacterium. RNAcentral describes it as "partial 16S ribosomal RNA". It matches the Rfam family "Bacterial small subunit ribosomal RNA", at positions 524 to 776 of the family's 1533-position model. The record is from RNAcentral.
UACGAAGGGGGCUAGCGUUGUUCGGAAUUACUGGGCGUAAAGCGCGCGCAGGUGGUUUCUUAAGUCUGAUGUGAAAGCCCACGGCUCAACCGUGGAGGGUCAUUGGAAACUGGGGAACUUGAGUGCAGGAGAGAAGAGUGGAAUUCCACGUGUAGCGGUGAAAUGCGUAGAGAUGUGGAGGAACACCAGUGGCGAAGGCGACUCUUUGGCCUGUAACUGACGCUGAGGAGCGAAAGCGUGGGGAGCGAACAGG